AACGAACGCUGGCGGCAGGCUUAACACAUGCAAGUCGAGCGCCCCGCAAGGGGAGCGGCAGACGGGUGAGUAACGCGUGGGAAUCUACCCAUCCCUACGGAACAACUCCGGGAAACUGGAGCUAAUACCGUAUACGCCCUUUGGGGGAAAGAUUUAUCGGGGAUGGAUGAGCCCGCGUUGGAUUAGCUAGUUGGUGGGGUAAAGGCCUACCAAGGCGACGAUCCAUAGCUGGUCUGAGAGGAUGAUCAGCCACAUUGGGACUGAGACACGGCCCAAACUCCUACGGGAGGCAGCAGUGGGGAAUAUUGGACAAUGGGCGCAAGCCUGAUCCAGCCAUGCCGCGUGAGUGAUGAAGGCCUUAGGGUUGUAAAGCUCUUUCACCGGAGAAGAUAAUGACGGUAUCCGGAGAAGAAGCCCCGGCUAACUUCGUGCCAGCCGCCGCGGUAA
RNAcentral lists this ribosomal RNA (447 nucleotides) under uncultured bacterium. RNAcentral describes it as "partial 16S ribosomal RNA". It matches the Rfam family "Bacterial small subunit ribosomal RNA", at positions 29 to 523 of the family's 1533-position model. The record is from RNAcentral.